UGCAGUCGAACGAAGUAGCAAUACUUAGUGGCAGACGGGUGAGUAACAUGUGGGUAUCUACCCUUUGGCCUGGAAUAACACGAGGAAACUUGUGCUAAUACCGGAUAAGUCUUUACGGAGAAAGCUUUAUGCACCAUUGGAUGAGCCCGCACUUGAUUAGUUUGUUGGUAGGGUAAUGGCCUACCAAGACUAUGAUCAAUAGCUGAUUUGAGAGGAUGAUCAGCCACAUUGGGACUGAGACACGGCCCAAACUCCUACGGGAGGCAGCAGUGGGGAAUCUUGCACAAUGGAGGAAACUCUGAUGCAGCGACGCCGCGUGAGUGAAGAAGGCCUUUGGGUUGUAAAGCUCUUUCGUCGGGGAAGAAAAUGACUGUACCCGAAUAAGAAGGUCCGGCUAACUUCGUGCCAGCAGCCGCGGUAAUACGAAGGGACCUAGCGUAGUUCGGAAUUACUGGGCUUAAAGAGUUCGUAGGUGGUUGAAAAAGUUGGUGGUGAAAUCCCAGAGCUUAACUCUGGAACUGCCAUCAAAACUUUUCAGCUAGAGUAUGAUAGAGGAAAGCAGAAUUUCUAGUGUAGAGGUGAAAUUCGUAGAUAUUAGAAAGAAUACCAAUUGCGAAGGCAGCUUUCUGGAUCAUUACUGACACUGA
Molecule: ribosomal RNA, 647 nt
Filed under: uncultured bacterium
Lineage: Bacteria
Description: bacterial SSU rRNA
Rfam family: Bacterial small subunit ribosomal RNA
Source: RNAcentral